This is a non-coding RNA of Flavobacterium suncheonense GH29-5 = DSM 17707, 104 nucleotides long. The record is from Rfam. Lineage: Bacteria; Pseudomonadati; Bacteroidota; Flavobacteriia; Flavobacteriales; Flavobacteriaceae.
ACGUUAUCACGAAAGGCAGAGGGACUAGACCCGACGAAGCCUUAGCAACCCUACGCUUGUAGAAGGUGCUACAUUCUACCUCGCUUUAGCAGGACAGAUAACAG